Molecule: small RNA, 546 nt
Filed under: Pan troglodytes (chimpanzee)
Lineage: Eukaryota; Metazoa; Chordata; Mammalia; Primates; Hominidae
Description: retained intron
Source: RNAcentral
GAGUGCAGCAGCCUGUCUAUUGGGACAGCUUGGUCAGCAAGGGGUGACCUUUGACCUCCAGCCCAUGGAAUGGAUGGCUGCAGCCACACAUGCCUUGUCUGCCCCUGCAGAGGUUCGGUUGACUCCACCAGGUAGUUGUGGAUUCUAUGAUGGCCUCCUUAUCCUUCUGUUGCAGCUCCUCACUGAGGUACAGAUGGAUCUUGGGAUGGAUGGGAAGUAAAGAGAGAGGAACUGGGCAUUUUGGGGAGCCUCUGGACCAGAGGAAUGAAGAAGCAACCCACAGCCUUCCCUCUCAAGCUACUGUGCCUGUGAUAGCCUUGGAACUUCCCCGCCUGCCCUCAGUACUGACCCUUUGAAGGAAACCAUUCGCUGCGUCCCCUGGGAUCCAGUGGGAGAUAAAAUGAAUUCCCUGGGUUUCAGUAGACAUACACAUGAGUUGUGAGGUCAGAGGGUUAAGGUUUGAUAAGAAAAUGAAAUAAGACGACAGGGAAAUACUAGGUGGGAAAGCGGAAGGAAUUAUUUCUGGGACUUCCUUUCCUUGUAAGU